GAGUUUGAUCGUGGCUCAGGAUGAACGCUGGCGGCGUGCCUAACACAUGCAGGUCGAACGGAGUUUAUGAGGAAGAAGCUUCGGCGGAAUUCCUAUAAACUUAGUGGCGGACGGGUGAGUAACACGUGGAGAACCUGCCUCUUACCGGGGGACAGCAGUUGGAAACGACUGAUAAUACCGCAUAAGCGCACGAGACCGCAUGGUCCUGUGUGAAAAGAUUUAUCGGUAAGAGAUGGCUCCGCGUCUGAUUAGCCUAGUUGGGCGGGGUAACCGGCCCAACCAAAGCGACGAUCAGUAGCCGGCCUGAGAGGGUGAAACGGCCACAUUGGGACUGAGACACGGCCCAGACUCCUACGGGAGGCAGCAGGUGGGG
This 373-nucleotide ribosomal RNA is filed under the name uncultured microorganism. RNAcentral's name for it is "bacterial SSU rRNA". It matches the Rfam family "Bacterial small subunit ribosomal RNA", at positions 9 to 359 of the family's 1533-position model. The record is from RNAcentral.